Molecule: long non-coding RNA, 1089 nt
Filed under: Mus pahari (shrew mouse)
Lineage: Eukaryota; Metazoa; Chordata; Mammalia; Rodentia; Muridae
Description: lncRNA (MGP_PahariEiJ_G0004876.1)
Source: RNAcentral
GGCCAGGUCUUCAACAGGCCGAACGAAGGGAGAUCUAUUUCCCCAAGGGUCCGGGACCGGACUGCAUAAUCCAAAAUCUGGAUCUCAAAGAGCCAGUGAAGUCAGAGAACUUGUGUUUCUGUCCUGAGCAGUCCAGGCUGGAAGCUCCCUAGCUGGCUUGCUGGAUUCUGAGGGUGCGUCAGCUGCUAUGACCAAGCCCCUGGAACAUGUAUGCCACCUCUGCUGGCCCCAUUCUGGACUUUUUGGUUGGAAUCAGUUCUGAAAUGGCAGGGGACUGGCAUCUAUCUGCAAGUCCUCAGAAAGAAGACAUUCCUGAGCACUGAGUUGUCAUUACUGAAUGAAGAUAGUGUCACUGGAUCUGCCUAGGGCUCUCAAAGCAAGAUACACAGUGUCAUCAGCAGGCUCUGGAAGGGGGGCAGCACAGCCUCAUUUUGGAAGUCCUCCCGAGCCUCUCUUUCCCGUUUGCUGUUGCGCUGGUCUCCCCUCUUCUUCUGGUCCCUGGACCGCUCCAUAUUUCUCAAUCCCAUCUGCUUCAGUAGCUAUGGAAAUUCUGUGUGUAUUUGCUGUCUUCUUGCCUAUAUGUUUGUUUUCCUUCUCUGUCACUUUCCCUUAUUUCCAAGUGAAAAAAAAAGAAAAGGUAUUUGUUUUGUGGGGCUCUAGGGGCAUGUGUGUCACGGUGCAUAUGUGGAGGUCAGAAGCAACUUGCAGGGUCAGUUCUUUCCUUCUACCAUGUGGGUCCCAGGGUGGGGGUUGAACUCAGAUUGUCAAACUUGACAGCAAGUGCUAUCACACUGACCCUCUUUUAAGUUUUUGUUUCGUUUUAAGAAAAUGUCUCUCUCUGAAGCUCAGGGGUGCCUUGAACUGUGGUGAUCCCCCUGCCUCAGUUCUGGGAUUUUAGGCAUAGGCCACUACACUCAGUUCUGUAUCAUUUUCAUACCAAAAUAAUAGUUGCUUGGAUUCUGUCUCCCCCUUCUUCCCACACACCCCUUCCCCCAUGCUGGAUCAGGUUUCUAUCUCUGAAACUGGACUGCAGUCAUCUCUUCUUGAGCUUGUCACCUCUGUUCACAUUAAUAAAGCUCCUGGUCUUCC